CUUUCUAGUAACUAGUUGAUGUUAUGAUGCAUCGUUGGUCCGGUGUACGACGGCGCCUGAUGCGAUUUAUGCGUCCGGAAGCCCUUUCAGCCUCCAGGCAUGUCCCCACCUGCCUCACAGCCACCGACGCAUCUCACGGCGGGGUUCCAAUUGCGUGCGCGUAUGGAUGCUACUUUCCCCGCCGCCUUUCUAGCAACUAGUUGAUGUUAUGAUGCAUCGUUGGUCCGGUGUACGACGGCGCCUGAUGCGAUUUAUGCGUCCGGAAGCCCUUUCAGCCUCCAGGCAUGUCCCCACCUGCCUCACAGCCACCGACGCAUCUCACGGCGGGGUUCCAAUUGUGUGCGCGUAUGGAUGCUCCUUUCCCCGCCGCCUUUCUAGUAACUGGUUGAUGUUAUGAUGCAUCGUUGGUCCGGUGUACGACGGCGCCUGAUGCGAUUUAUGCGUCCGGAAGCCCUUUCAGCCUCCAGGCAUGUCCCCACCUGCCUCACAGCCACCGACGCAUCUCACGGCGGGGUUCCAAUUGUGUGCGCGUAUGGAUGCUCCUUUCCCCGCCGCCUUUCUAGUAACUGGUUGAUGUUAUGAUGCAUCGUUGGUCCGGUGUACGACGGCGCCUGAUGCGAUUUAUGCGUCCGGAAGCCCUUUCAGCCUCCAGGCAUGUCCCCACCUGCCUCACAGCCACCGACGCAUCUCACGGCGGGGUUCCAAUUGUGUGCGCGUAUGGAUGCUCCUUUCCCCGCCGCCUUUCUAGCAACUAGUUGAUGUUAUGAUGCAUCGUUGGUCCGGUGUACGACGGCGCCUGAUGCGAUUUAUGCGUCCGGAAGCCCUUUCAGCCUCCAGGCAUGUCCCCACCUGCCUCACAGCGACCGAGGCAUCUCACGGCGGGGN
This 885-nucleotide long non-coding RNA is filed under the name Volvox carteri. Its description in RNAcentral is "long non-coding RNA (VCAR_LNC003895)". The record is from RNAcentral. Lineage: Eukaryota; Viridiplantae; Chlorophyta; Chlorophyceae; Chlamydomonadales; Volvocaceae.